RNAcentral lists this small nuclear RNA (171 nucleotides) under Neogale vison (American mink). RNAcentral's name for it is "Neovison vison (American mink) U4 spliceosomal RNA (ENSNVIG00000017822.1)". The stretch from base 1 to 71 matches the Rfam family "U4 spliceosomal RNA". Lineage: Eukaryota; Metazoa; Chordata; Mammalia; Carnivora; Mustelidae. The record is from RNAcentral.
GGCUUUGCGCAGUGGCAGUAUCGUAGCCAAUGAGGUUUAUCCGAGGCGUGAUUAUUGCUAAUUGAAACUUGGCUUCCUCGGACCCACUUAGAUCUACUAAAACGGAACUGCAUUGUCACGCAACCUUCAGGGGAUUAUGGGUACACUGAUGUUUGAGAAGCAGCGGUCUGU